AACUUUGAUUGGCUUGUUUCAAAUGAGUCAACUAGGUUGAGAGAGCUGCUGACUUCAUAGAUAAUGGUUCAUACGACUGCUCAACCGGUGCCCUCUUUUAUUUUUUAUGCAUGUAACUAUUAGAGAGAUAUCUAUUUUGGGGAUGAUUCUUGUGGGGACCAUGCAGUGAUAACGUAUAAUGACUUAAGUGGUGGAGUUAUCAUUGUU
This 207-nucleotide long non-coding RNA is filed under the name Citrus maxima (pomelo). RNAcentral describes it as "long non-coding RNA (CMAX_LNC003972)". Lineage: Eukaryota; Viridiplantae; Streptophyta; Magnoliopsida; Sapindales; Rutaceae. The record is from RNAcentral.